GAUGAAGAACGUAGCGAAAUGCGAUAAGUAAUGUGAAUUGCAGAAUUCAGUGAAUCAUCGAAUCUUUGAACGCACAUUGCGCCCGCCAGUAUUCUGGCGGGCAUGCCUGUUCGAGCGUCAUUUCAACCAUCAAGCCCCCGGCUUGUGUUGGGGACCUGCGGCUGCCGCAGGCCCUGAAAACCAGUGGCGGGCUCGCUAGUCACUCCGAGCGUAGUAAUACAUCUCGCUCAGGGCGUGCUGCGGGUUCCGGCCGUUAAAAAGCCUUAUUUACCUAAGGUUGACCUCGGAUCAGGUAGGAAGACCCGCUGAACUUAAGCAUAUCAAUAGCGGAGGA
This 334-nucleotide unclassified non-coding RNA is filed under the name soil metagenome. RNAcentral's name for it is "partial contains 5.8S ribosomal RNA, internal transcribed spacer 2, and large subunit ribosomal RNA". The stretch from base 1 to 120 matches the Rfam family "5.8S ribosomal RNA", at positions 35 to 154 of the family's 154-position model. The record is from RNAcentral.